CAGUCGCCGCGGUAAUACGUAGGGUGCGAGCGUUAAUCGGAAUUACUGGGCGUAAAGCGUGCGCAGGCGGUUCGUUAAGACAGAUGUGAAAUCCCCGGGCUUAACCUGGGAACUGCAUUUGUGACUGACGGGCUAGAGUAUGGCAGAGGGGGGUAGAAUUCCACGUGUAGCAGUGAAAUGCGUAGAGAUGUGGAGGAAUACCGAUGGCGAAGGCAGCCCCCUGCGCCAAUACUGACGCUCAUGCACGAAAGCGUGGGGAGCAAACAGGAUUAGAUACCCGCGUAGUCCCUGUCUCUUAUAC
RNAcentral lists this ribosomal RNA (301 nucleotides) under uncultured bacterium. RNAcentral's name for it is "partial 16S ribosomal RNA". It matches the Rfam family "Bacterial small subunit ribosomal RNA", at positions 509 to 807 of the family's 1533-position model. The record is from RNAcentral.